Long non-coding RNA from Fukomys damarensis (Damara mole-rat), 352 nucleotides. RefSeq lists it as uncharacterized. NCBI's taxonomy places the organism in Eukaryota, Metazoa, Chordata, Mammalia, Rodentia, Bathyergidae. The transcript has 3 exons. The record is from RefSeq and is a predicted model, not a curated record.
CCCUGCUCUGGAGGCCGAUUCCCUGACAGCCCCCCGCCAUCCCUGCUCAGCUUUUCCUCACCCACUUUGUGGGUGAAGAAACUCAAGCCUGGAGGAGACAAAAAGGCAGCACGACCCGUCCACCAAGACCCGUCCACCAUGCCAGCCUGAUCUCUUCACUCCAUGUCGCCUUCCAAUGGAAAACCAAAGCCUCCUCAAUGUCUCUGAGCCCAGUCCCCUGAGCUGCUCAGCCUCAGCCAUGCCUUCGUCCUCCUGCCCAUGAGCCAUGAACUGUGGCACCCUUGCUGUCAUACCCUCUCUGGUCAAGCCUUUCCACAUCCUCCACCUGCAUGCCAAAGAUGAAGAAGUUCUC